ACACGCUUCCCCACUGAGGGAAGACCAUGUGACUAUACAACAGGAAGGUAGUUGUUUACAAGCCAGGAAGAGAGCCCUCACCAGAAACCAAAUUGGCUGGCGCCUUGAUCAUGGACUCCUGGGCUCCGGAACUGUAAGAAAAUUUGUGUUGUGGAAGCCACCCAGCCCAUGGUAUUUCGUUAUGGCAGCCUGAGCAGAGGUGGUAGCUAUGUGGACAGUUUUUGGACUUCUCUAUUGUUGCCCUUCAUCACUCAGCAGUGAAGAAUGAAAAUCAACAGAGCUUUCCCCAGCCUGCUGCUUAAGCAGCUGCUAGCAGGCUGAGGCUGCCCAGCCUCAUUAACCCAUUAGAUGCUGCGUUCGCCCGGGAGUCAUUCUUAAUGAGGCUGCUGCAGAUGAGAAAACAGAAGCAAAGGCAGAAAGAUGCUACAUUGCCAGCUUUGAAGAUGGAGGGAAGAGGUCACAAACCAAGGAAGGCAAUGAGGACGUUGCACAAGACAGUCCCUGAUACCCAGAGUUUACUGCCUAAGAGAGGAUACAUCCUUCAAACCAAUAAUCUGCUAAUAGCAAGAUCCAAUAGCUUCAUGGAUAUUGAAAGAAACUGAGAAUCAAAUUUGCAUACUUCUGAGUCACUUGGAAACAAAAAACAAGUACAGUCUUAGAUUCUGAGGGAACAAAAAUUAAAAAUCACAUUAGGAAGAGAAUUCCUAAUGUAGGAACUCAUCCUGGAAGAUUCUUCAGCAAAAGUACAGACAAUAAUAAUAAUACUCCAUGAAGUUACCAUCGAUAUUGAAUGAAUUAAUGAAUGUAAAAACCUCAAAACCCUGCCUGGCCCAGAGCUUUGGAAUGGGUUUGGAUCUACCACUCAACUGCUUUAUGACUUCAGACCAGUUAUUUAAAUUCCCUGAAGCUCAGUUUCCACAUCUUUGAGUUUUUAUUAAUGACCUGCCGACAUCAUACAGUUCAUGAAAUGCUCUGGAUGUGUACAUGCUGAUGAUACGACCUCAGACCCAGCAAGAGCUCAGUGCAGCCCGGAGAGCUGUGAGCAGUGCCACAGGAGGAGAUGACUGGUGAGUGAAAUAAGCAAGAUAGGAGUUGAAGUGUACAUGAAGCAGAGUCCAAGCCUUCUCCUUCUGGAUGUUCAGCUGGAUCAUCCUGACUGCUCCCACUUUCAUCUUGGCUUUCAAAGGCAAGAGGAAAUUAUAAGGAAUAUUCUGAGUGGCUUUCAUCCAGGAGUUCUGUGGGACCCGCAACACCUGGAUGGUAGAUGCAAACAGAUAAAGAAUAUUGGUCACCAAAAGGAGUUCUUUUCAUCAUAGAUCUCUGAAGGUAGACACCUAUUUGCAGACUUCUCAAAGGGCUAUAUGGAUGUGCUCUACUUGUUGGAGGAUUGUCCAUCCACUCUUCUUCCUGUACUUACCAGGACAGAACAGCCGCAACUUCUCAGACAGUUCAUUCUUCUUUUCCUCACCUACUACCAUCUAAGAAAGGUACUUGAUGACUGUGGCUUUAGACAAGAGUCCUUUUCUUACCACAGGGUGGGCAGCACCAGCUCAUUAGAACCAUUUGUGUGACUGACUGAAGACAGCUCACCUUGGAACACUGCAGGUGCACAGGUGGAUGACUUGGCAGGAGAUGCCAUUUAUGGCCAUGGAACAGUCAAGUUGUUAAGGGGACCAAGAAUGUCAAUGAACUAAAAGUUUCUGGACCAGUUUAUUAGGCAAAAAUUAAAAAUAAAAAUAAUAUUUGAGAACCUAAAAUAAAUUUGAUCUCAACUUGCAUAAUAUCUCUAACUCACUGAGGUUCCACGAAGACAGGCAGGAAGCCCAAGAAAAAGAGGUUGAAGAAAAUUAACUCUGAAAAACUUUGGCUGUAGUUAUGCAUUUUGGUAAUUACAGUGAACUAAGAGCAAUAGCUCAACAUAAGGGAUAAAAUGUGUGUCAAGUCUCAAGAAAGUACUCAAACACUUUUUAAAAACUCAGAAAGCAGAACUGUAAAAGGGUAAAUGGUGAGGUGGAGGGAAAAACUUGGAAGGUAAAGGAUGUAAUAAUUAUUUAUUCCUUUUCUAAAACAAAGAUGAAAGGGCCAAGUAUUUAUUAUUCUUUUAUUAAAAUAAGAAUGAUGAAGCUUUACUCCUUUUCCUGCAAUUUUUUUUUUUUUUUUUGGCAAACCUCUCAAAUAUUUUGUAAUAGCUCUAAAGAGAAAAGGUUAUGGUCAUUUUCAUAUCUUCUUUUGUAAAACACUGUUCAAACCUCUUGCCAAUUUUUCCACUGUAUUUUUUGUCUGAUCAAUCUGUGUACAUUCUUCAUAUAUUCUAGACCUAAGCUUGUAAGUUAUGUGUUAUAAAUACCUUUUCCCAUUUUGUGGUUUUAUUUAUCUCUUGGUAUUGGUGUCUUUUUGUGAACAAAAGUUCUACUCUUACUAUAAUCUCAGUUAACAAUCUUUUCCUUUAUGGUUAGUAAUAUUUUGUGCAUCCUGUUUAAAAAUUAUUUUACAACAGUAAAGGAAUACAAAUCCUUUUUUAGAUUGCCUUCAAGAAACUUUAUUAAUUUCCUUUCAUAUUUAGACCUAUAAUCUACUUGGAUUUGAUUUUUGCAGAUAACGUGUGCAGGAAUUGAUGUUCAGCAUUGUUUUUUGUCUAUUUGGCAAUCGUAUUGUCCCAGUCACACUUUUUAUCUUCCUCUCACUGCUCUGCCUGUACUUUUUUCAUAAAUUAAUAGUAAAUAUAUGCAUAGAUUUCUAAUCUGUUCUAUUGAUCCAUCUAUUCUUGCACAAAUACCACAUUGUCUUAAUUACUCUAGCUUUAAAUUGACAUCUAGUAGGGGAAGUUUUCCCAUUAUGUUUUUCUUUUUCAAUAGUGUUUAAUCUCUAUUCUUUUUCAAUUUACAUACAUGUGAGAAUCAACUUGUCAAAUCACACACACACACACACACACACACACAGCAUGCAGAGUCGAACUUCUUGAGAUUUUUAAUGGGACUGUAUCAAAUUUAUAAUCAAUUGAAUCUUCUAGUCAGUGAACAUGUAUGUUUUCUUUAAUUUCUUUCAACAAUAUUUUGUGAAAUUAUGCCUUGAGAGUUUUACACAUCUUUUAGAUUUAUUCCUAGAUAUUUUAUUUUGUGGACUUUAUUGUAAAUGGUAUCUUUAAAAUGUCAUUUGCUGACUACCUUCAGUUCAGCAACCUUAUUAAGCUAACCUUCUGUUUCUAAAUAAUUAUCUGUAGAUUUAUUUGAAUUUUGUAUAUAUUCAGUCAUCACACCUGAAAAAAAUAAAAUAUUUUUUCUUCUAUUAAAGUUAUUUUUUUCAUGUCUUACUGCAUGGCAUAAAAAAAAGGUAAUAAGGACAUAUCCUUGUCUUUUUCCUAAUUUCAGAGGGAGAGUUUUCAAAAUGUCAACCAUGCUGAAUUUUCCAAUCUCAGACGGAAGGUUUUCAGCAAAUAUCAAGUGUAACAUUUGCUCUAAACAUUUGUAGAUAUUUCUGUCAAGUUAAGAAAGAUGUUUUUCCUCUUAUUUUGCAAGCGCUUUCCCAUGAAUGCAUUUUGUAGCUCCUCUAUUUUGUUAAUACGGUGAAAUAUUGAAUUUUAAUGUUAAAUGAAAUUUUCCUUCCUAGAAUAAACUCUUUGUCCAGUUUUGUUUUUCUCUUUA
RNAcentral lists this long non-coding RNA (3641 nucleotides) under Homo sapiens (human). Its description in RNAcentral is "long independently transcribed non-coding RNA 2955, transcript variant 11 (LINC02955)". Lineage: Eukaryota; Metazoa; Chordata; Mammalia; Primates; Hominidae. The record is from RNAcentral.